This 237-nucleotide non-coding RNA is filed under the name Streptococcus intermedius. Its description in RNAcentral is "T-box sequence". It matches the Rfam family "T-box leader". Rfam says of the family: Uncharged tRNA acts as the effector for transcription antitermination of genes in the T-box leader family. T-boxes are found upstream of many aminoacyl-tRNA synthetase genes and some amino acid biosynthetic genes usually in Gram-positive bacteria. Lineage: Bacteria; Bacillati; Bacillota; Bacilli; Lactobacillales; Streptococcaceae. The record is from RNAcentral.
AAAAUAAUAACAAAUUAGAAAAGUAAUAAAAUGUCUGUUGGCAGAGAACUUGUGGUUGGUGGAAACAAGUAGCAGGGUUUUAUGAAAUUGGGCUAAUGGAUAGAACUUGAAUUUGAAACGAUAAAAAUUCGGUAAGCACACCUUAUAGUGCAACUUGUUGUUAGACAAGAUAGAGAUGUGGGGAAAGUGUAUGAUUUUUCCCAUAAUUGAGGUGGCACCGCGAUUUACGCCCUCACA